AGAGUUUGAUCCUGGCUCAGGAUGAACGCUAGCGGCAGGCUUAACACAUGCAAGUCGAGGGGCAGCGGGGUCCAGCAAUGGGCUGCCGGCGACCGGCGCACGGGUGCGUAACGCGUAUGCAACCUGCCCGCGACAGGGGGAUAACCGGUGGAAACGCCGACUAAUACCCCGUAAUGCACUAGGUCGCAUGGCUUGGUGCUGAAAGCUUCGGUGGUCGCGGAUGGGCAUGCGUGGCAUUAGGUAGUUGGCGGGGCAACGGCCCACCAAGCCUACGAUGCCUAGGGGAGCUGAGAGGCUAAUCCCCCACACUGGUACUGAGACACGGACCAGACUCCUACGGGAGGCAGCAGUGAGGAAUAUUGGUCAAUGGGCGGAAGCCUGAACCAGCCAUGCCGCGUGUGGGAAGAAGGCCCUAUGGGUUGUAAACCACUUUUAGCCGGGAGUAAUAAGGGGCGUGCGCGCCCCGAUGAGAGUACCGGCGGAAUAAGCAUCGGCUAACUCCGUGCCAGCAGCCGCGGUAAUACGGAGGAUGCAAGCGUUAUCCGGAUUUAUUGGGUUUAAAGGGUGCGUAGGCGGACCGUUAAGUCAGCGGUGAAAGGUCCCGGCUCAACCGGGGAGCUGCCGUUGAUACUGGCGGACUUGAGUCCAAACGGCGCCGGCGGAAUAUGUAAUGUAGCGGUGAAAUGCAUAGAUAUUACAUAGAACACCGAUCGCGAAGGCAGCUGGCGAGGAUGGCACUGACGCUGAGGCACGAAGGCGUGGGGAUCGAACAGGAUUAGAUACCCUGGUAGUCCACGCAGUAAACGAUGGCGACUUGUUGUCGGCGACAGACUGCCGGUGGCAAAGCGAAAGCGAUAAGUAUUCCACCUGGGGAGUACGCCGGCAACGGUGAAACUCAAAGGAAUUGACGGGGGCCCGCACAAGCGGAGGAACAUGUGGUUUAAUUCGAUGCUACGCGAAGAACCUUACCUGGUCUUGAAAUCCGGACGAAUACAGGGCAAUGCCUGUAGCCUUCGGGCGGCCGAGACAGGUGGUGCAUGGUUGUCGUCAGCUCGUGUCGUGAGAUGUUGGGUUAAGUCCCGCAACGAGCGCAACCCUUGUCCUUAGUAGCCAGCAAUUCGGUUGGGCACUCUAAGGAGACUGCCCGGGAUAACCGGGAGGAAGGUGGGGAUGACGUCAAAUCAUCAUGCCCCUUAUGACCAGGGCUACACACGUGCUACAAUGUCGUAAACAAAGGGAAGCGAAGGAGCGAUCCGGAGCGAAACCCAUAAAUAACGACUCAGUUCGGAUUGCAGGCUGCAACUCGCCUGCAUGAAGCUGGAAUCGCUAGUAAUCGCAGAUCAGCAUGCUGCGGUGAAUACGUUCCCGGGUCUUGUACACACCGCCCGUCACACCAUGGGAGUUGGUAAUGCCCGAAGCUGGUGACCUAACCGCAAGGAAGGAGCCAUCGAAGGCAGGACUGAUAACUGGGGUGAAGUCGUAACAAGGUA
Molecule: ribosomal RNA, 1490 nt
Filed under: uncultured rumen bacterium
Lineage: Bacteria
Description: partial 16S ribosomal RNA
Rfam family: Bacterial small subunit ribosomal RNA
Source: RNAcentral